GAGUUUGAUCCUGGCUCAGGAUGAACGCUGGCGGCAUGCCUAACACAUGCAAGUCGUAACGGACCUUUAUUUUUGAGAGUUCCUUUAUAGAAAUUCUCAAAAAUACUGGUUAGUGGCGGACGGGUGAGUAACACGUUGGUACCUACCCUCUAGUGGGGGAAUAACUUCGAGAAAUCGAGGCUAAUACCGCAUGUGGUCUACGGAUCAAAGCAGUAAUGCGCUAGAGGAGGGGCCUGCGUCUGAUUAGCUUGUUGGUGAGGUAAAAGCUCACCAAGGCGACGAUCAGUAGCUGGAUCGAGAGGUUGACCAGCCACACUGGGACUGAGAUACGGCCCAGACUCCUACGGGAGGCAGCAGUGAGGAAUCUUCCACAAUGGACGAAAGUCUGAUGGAGCAAUGCCGCGUGCAGGAUGACGGCCUUCGGGUUGUAAAUUGCUUUUAUAUGGGAAGAUUAUGACGGUACCAUAUGAAUAAGGACCGGCUAACUACGUG
RNAcentral lists this ribosomal RNA (492 nucleotides) under uncultured bacterium. Its description in RNAcentral is "bacterial SSU rRNA". It matches the Rfam family "Bacterial small subunit ribosomal RNA", at positions 9 to 507 of the family's 1533-position model. The record is from RNAcentral.